RNAcentral lists this ribosomal RNA (254 nucleotides) under uncultured microorganism. RNAcentral's name for it is "partial 16S ribosomal RNA". It matches the Rfam family "Archaeal small subunit ribosomal RNA", at positions 474 to 727 of the family's 1478-position model. The record is from RNAcentral.
CACCGGCGGCUCGAGUGGUGGCCACUUUUAUUGGGUCUAAAGCGUCCGUAGCCGGCUUGGCAAGUCCCCUGGGAAAUCUGGCGGCUUAACCGUCAGGCGUCCAGAGGAUACUGCCAGGCUUGGGACCGGGAGAGGUGAGAGGUACCUCAGGGGUAGGGGUGAAAUCUUGUGAUCCCUGAGGGACCACCAGUUGCGAAGGCGUCUCACUAGAACGGGUCCGACGGUCAGGGACGAAAGCUGGGGGCACGAACCGG